ACAUAAACUUGUUCGGUGAGAUUUUUAAACAAACAUAGUCUAUUGAGCAGAAAUGGCGGGUUAAGGCUUCUCAUAAAAUGGCUAAGAAGCAAUUCUUCACGUUGUUUAAUGUUAAAUAUCAGAUGAUGAGAUAGGAG
Molecule: small RNA, 137 nt
Filed under: Enterococcus avium
Lineage: Bacteria; Bacillati; Bacillota; Bacilli; Lactobacillales; Enterococcaceae
Description: Magnesium sequence
Rfam family: M-box riboswitch aptamer (ykoK leader)
About the family: M-box riboswitch, also know as ykoK leader is described as a metaloregulatory RNA that sense divalent metals and function as a genetic control element of genes related to divalent metal transport in bacteria. It was first reported upstream of the B.subtilis ykoK gene and genes with related functions in other bacteria.
Source: RNAcentral